CGCUGCGGCGUGGAUAGGCAUGCAAGUCAAGGGACUCUUUUAGUGCUUGCACUUUUAGAGGACCGGCGAACGGGUUAGUAACACGUGGGUAACAUACCGUUAAGACGGGAAUAAUUCGGGGAAACCCGGGCUAAUACCCGAUAGUCCUUUUUUUGUUUAAUCAAUUAAAGGUAAAGGAACCCUUUGGGAACCGCUUAAUGAUUGGCCCGCGGCCUAUCAGCUAGAAGGUGUGGUAAUGGCACACCUUGGCUAUGACGGGUAGGCGGAGUUAGCGCUCGACCGCCAACAAGGGCACUGAGACACGGGCCUUACUCCUACGGGAGGCAGCAGUCGAGAAUCAUCCACAAUGGGGGAAACCCUGAUGGUGCGACGCCGCGUGUCCGAUGAAGCCUUACGGGGUGUAAAGGACUUUUCUCCGGGAAGAAGUUAUGUCGCUUGCGGCAUAAUUGACGGUACCGGAGGAAUAAGGGGAUGCUAAUUAUGUGCCAGCAGCAGCGGUAAUACAUAAUCCCCAAGCGUUAUCCGGAUUUACUAGGCGUAAAGGGUCCGUAGGCGGUUUGUCAGGUUUCUUGUUAAAUUUUCAGGGCUUAACCUUGAAAGUGCGGGAAAAACCGACAAACUAGAGGACGUCAGAGGCUGACGGAACGGCUGGUGUAGGCGUGGAAACCGUUGAUAUCAACCGGAACACCAAAAGCGAAGGCAGUCAGCUGGGGCGAUCCUGACGCUGAGGGACGAAAGCAUGGGUAGCGAAGAGGAUUAGAUACCCUCGUAGUCCAUGCUGUAAACGAUG
Molecule: ribosomal RNA, 790 nt
Filed under: uncultured bacterium
Lineage: Bacteria
Description: bacterial SSU rRNA
Rfam family: Bacterial small subunit ribosomal RNA
Source: RNAcentral